GGAUGUGAGGGCGAUCUGGCUGCGACAUCUGUCACCCCAUUGAUCGCCAGGGUUGAUUCGGCUGAUCUGGCUGGCUAGGCGGGUGUCCCCCUCCUCCCUCGCCGAUCCAUGUGCGUCCCUCCCGAAGCUGCGCGCUCGGUCGAAGAGGACGACCUUCCCCCCCGAGGAGAGGACCGGUCUUCGGUCAAGGGUAUACGAGUAGCUGCGCUCCCCUGCUAGAACCUCCAAACAAGCUCUCAAGAAGUAUAUGUGUAUAUAUGGGAUAGUAUAGGUACAUGUAUUUUACAAUGUGUUUUCUGAGAGGACCUAGAACAGUG
This is an unclassified non-coding RNA of Myotis lucifugus (little brown bat), 317 nucleotides long. Its record names the gene 7SK. It matches the Rfam family "7SK RNA". Rfam says of the family: 7SK was discovered as an abundant small nuclear RNA in the mid-70s but a possible function has only recently been suggested. Two independent studies have found that 7SK RNA binds the CDK9/cyclin T complex (known as elongation factor P-TEFb). NCBI's taxonomy places the organism in Eukaryota, Metazoa, Chordata, Mammalia, Chiroptera, Vespertilionidae. The record is from Ensembl.